UAACCCUUGCCCCUCAUCCCCAUCCAUUCCAUCCCCUUCUUCCCAACCUCAUCUACCACAGCCGCCAUGGGUGGAUGAAAAGGGAAAGAAAUAACACACAGACAAGAAAUUGAAGAUCUGGGAAAAGGAACAAAGCAAGUUGCAGGAGAGAAAAGAAUGUCGGGCAGUGGUGCCUCUUACCAGGGACAUGAAGAUAACUUUGCGGGGGAGUACAUUGGUAAACAGCCUGGACAAUCCCAAUAUCCUGGAGCAUUGUUUGACCCCAGUCUCUUUGGAAUGCAAAACAAUGGAGCGAGUUUUGUGCCGAUGUUUUACCCCAACUCAUUUCCUCCUCAGGUCCUUGAGUUGCCUGUCUCAUGACCAAAAAAUACAAAGCUUAUUGUAACUGUUCCUGCAAAUAUGUACUUGAAUGAAUGAACGACAUAUGUGAGUUGCCGAGACAGGUUAUAUAUACUUGAAUGAAUGAAUGAACGACAUAUGUG
Molecule: ribosomal RNA, 482 nt
Filed under: Triticum aestivum (bread wheat)
Lineage: Eukaryota; Viridiplantae; Streptophyta; Magnoliopsida; Poales; Poaceae
Description: partial small subunit ribosomal RNA
Source: RNAcentral